RNAcentral lists this ribosomal RNA (486 nucleotides) under uncultured bacterium. RNAcentral's name for it is "partial 16S ribosomal RNA". It matches the Rfam family "Bacterial small subunit ribosomal RNA", at positions 899 to 1397 of the family's 1533-position model. The record is from RNAcentral.
ACUCAAAGGAAUUGACGGGGGCCCGCACAAGCAGCGGAGCGUGCGGUUCAAUUCGAUGGUACGCGAAGAACCUUACCCAGACUUGACAUGCAAGUGGUAGGAAGCCGAAAGGUGACCGACCCGCAAGGGAGCUUGCACAGGUGUUGCACGGCCGUCGUCAGCUCGUGUCGUGAGAUGUUGGGUUAAGUCCCGCAACGAGCGCAACCCUCGGGGUCUGUUGUAUCUCUCAGACUCCACUGCCGAGAGAAACUCGGAGGAAGGUGGGGACGAAGUCAGGUCCGCGUGGCCUUUAUGUCUGGGGCUACACGCACGCUACAAUCGCCGGUCACAGCGGGUCGCGACAGCGCAAGCUGAAGCUAAUCCCUUAAAACCGGCGUCAGUUCAGAUCGGAGGCUGCAACCCGCCUCCGUGAAGUCGGAGUUGCUAGUAACCGCGGGAAAGCACACCGCGGUGAAUAUGUUCCCGGGCCUUGUACACACCGCCCGU